This is a long non-coding RNA of Nothobranchius furzeri (turquoise killifish), 1680 nucleotides long. NCBI's taxonomy places the organism in Eukaryota, Metazoa, Chordata, Actinopteri, Cyprinodontiformes, Nothobranchiidae. The record is from Ensembl.
AUGUCCAAAACAAAACCUCCUCUGGGACAAUCAGAUCACAAUCUUGUUUUUCUCUGCUCAGAAUACAAACCACUUGUUCAGAGGCAACCUGUGACAAGAAGAACUGUGAGAAAAUGGUCACAGGACGCUGAAGAAGCCCUGCAGAGUUGUUUUGAGACCACAGAUUGGAUGACUCUCUGCCAAGGAUAUGAAGAGGACAUCAAUGCCAUGACUGGAUUUGUCACUGACUAUAUAAACUUCUGUGUGGACAACAUCAUACCCACCAGAACAGUGAGAUGCUUCGCUAAUAACAAACCCUGGAUCAGAAGUGAACUGAUGAAUCUGCUAAAUGAGAAAAAAAGAGCCUUCAAGGAGGGAGACAGGGAAUUAUUGAGGAGUAUACAGAAGCAACUGAAGAUCAAGAUCAGAGACAGCAAGGAGGCAUACAGGAAGAAGCUGGAGAACAAACUACAGAGGAACAAUCUCAGAGAUGUCUGGUCAGGGAUGAAGAAGAUCACAGGAUUCAAGCAAAGGAAAGAUUGCACAGAUGGCAGCCUGGACACAGUCAAUGAACUGAACAAGUUCUUCAAUAGGUUCAGUUCAGGAACAAACCCAGCAUCCUCCUCGCCUGUCCCCAGCCAAUCAGACAUCCCAUCCUCCUCUGAUCCAACAUUUUCCUGUCACACGCCAGCUCUUUUGUCCUCUAACACAGUCAUGGACUCUUCUGGUUCUAGAAAUCUGUCAUCAACCAAGUCAGGAGAUGCUGCUGCCCCAGUUACCUCCCCCUCCCACCUGUCUGUCUCUAGAAGUCAGGUGAAGAGGCAGCUGGAGAGACUGAACAGGAACAAGGCUGCAGGUCCAGAUGGUGUCAGCCCCAGGGUACUGAAGGUCUGUGCAGAGCAGCUCUGUGGGAUUCUGCAGCACCUCUUCAACCUCAGCCUGGCCCAGGAGAAGGUUCCAGUCCUGUGGAAGACAUCCUGCCUUGUUCCAGUUCCAAAGAAAACUCGCAAAUCAGUCAAUGACGACUACAGACCAGUUGCCUUGACAUCCCACAUCAUGAAGGUCCUGGAGAGACUCCUGUUGGUCCACCUGAAUAAGCAAACUAGAACAUAUCAGGACCCGCUGCAGUUUGCUUAUUGCCAUGGAGUUGGAGUUGAAGAUGCCAUCAUCCAGCUGCUUCAACCAACCCACUGUCAUCUGGACAAAGCAGGCACCACUGUCAGGGUCAUGUUCUUUGAUUUCUCCAGUGCAUUUAACACAAUCCAGCCUGAUGUACUUUGCCAGAAACUCCAGAAGACACAGGUGGGGGCCUCAACUAUCGCCUGGAUUAAAGACUACCUGACAAACAUACCACAGUUUGUGAGGCUGAAGAACUGCACAUCAAACCAGGCGAUCAGUAACAUUGGAGCACCACAGGGGACUGUACUUUCACCAUUCCUUUUCACCCUGUACACCUCAGACUUCCAGUACAAACCAGAGACCUGUCAUCUACAGAAAUACUCAGAUGACUCUGCAGUUGUCGGGUGUAUCAGAGAUGGACAGGAAGCUGAGUACAGAGAGCUGGUGGAGCGCUUUGUGGCAUGGUGUGGAAACAAUCAUCUGACCUUGAACGUGAACAAAACAAAGGAUGAUUUUAGACUUCAGAAGAAACAGGGUGGAGUCAAACACUGUUUCCAUCAUGGGAGAAGUGGAUGUGGUUGA